Long non-coding RNA from Phragmites australis (common reed), 955 nucleotides. RefSeq lists it as uncharacterized. The transcript has 2 exons. The record is from RefSeq and is a predicted model, not a curated record. NCBI's taxonomy places the organism in Eukaryota, Viridiplantae, Streptophyta, Magnoliopsida, Poales, Poaceae.
UAACAACUGAAUUGUGUUCACAUGGUAGGUUCUAGACAGCGUUCACAUGAGAGCUCCCCAACCAGCGCUGGCUCAUUUCUACCCUCGUUUUAUCUCUCCUCACUGACUCUCUCCUCACACCUAGCAGGUUGUGACCACACGAAGCUUCCCCAUUGUUGGGCUGGAGCUCACCUGGGUAGCGACCGGAGCUCCCCCGUGAUAACGGCUAGUGACGAGCCCAUUCCCCCUCGCGACGAUGUCAUCCCCACCCCGUCAUAGUGCAGAUCCAUGGCAUCUUCCUCCACAGUUGCCAUAGGCACAUCGUCAUCCCCACCCCUUCACCGGAGCACGUCCAGGCGUGGGCACCGGUGGUGGCGAGCGGCUUCCUCCACGGCCAUCUCUCAUUGGCGAUUUAUAGUUUUUUGUCGAUUUUCUCCAUUUAGUCCUCUGAUCUGUUUGAUUUAAUUGGUGAUUCGUUCAUUUAUCCUUUUAUUUUGGUGCUCACGAUGGUUAGGGUUUGAUUCAUGGUGUAAUUUCUUUGUGUUUUUUAGGGUCCGGUUGAAUUGGAGCAAAGGGAGCCUGGUGGAGGAAUCGAGAAUUUGCGAUCUGAAGUGGACAAGCAGAAUUUCGAGAUGGGCUUAUAUCAUGGAGAAUUCAGGCUACAGUAAAAAAUUGGACAUAUCUAGUGUGUCACAGGUGAAGUGCUAUGAAGCUUAAUGCUAUGGAAAUCAAGUCCAGUGUUGGAGUUCAAUAAAAACUAUACUAUCUACAGAGAAACUAGUGAAAAUAUCAUGUCCUUGUUCUGUUGUUCAGCACUUGUAGUGAUCUUUGUCUUGUUUCUCUUAGGCACUAGUGAGAAACUUGUGAAAAUUAGAGAAUUGCACUUCAACUUUUUUGGUUGAUAUAUUCCUAGGAAGAGUACAACAAUCAAGAAUAUUGUACAUAUCAAAGUGAUUUUCCAUUUUAUUUGUAGCUA